ACGAAGGUGGCAAGCGUUGUUCGGAUUUACUGGGCGUACAGGGAGCGUAGGCGGUUGGAUAAGCCCUCCGUGAAAUCUCCAGGCUUAACCUGGAAAGUGCAGAGGGGACUGUUCAGCUAGAGGAUGGGAGAGGAGCGCGGAAUUCCUAGUGUAGCGGUGAAAUGCGUAGAUAUUAGGAAGAAUAUCAGUGGCGAAGGCGGCUCUCUGGACUGCAACUGACGCUGAGGCACGAAAGCGUGGGGAGCAAACAGGA
RNAcentral lists this ribosomal RNA (253 nucleotides) under uncultured prokaryote. RNAcentral's name for it is "partial 16S ribosomal RNA". It matches the Rfam family "Bacterial small subunit ribosomal RNA", at positions 525 to 777 of the family's 1533-position model. The record is from RNAcentral.